Molecule: unclassified non-coding RNA, 341 nt
Filed under: soil metagenome
Description: partial contains 5.8S ribosomal RNA, internal transcribed spacer 2, and large subunit ribosomal RNA
Rfam family: 5.8S ribosomal RNA (bases 1-120)
Source: RNAcentral
GAUGAAGAACGUAGCGAAAUGCGAUAAGUAAUGUGAAUUGCAGAAUUCAGUGAAUCAUCGAAUCUUUGAACGCACAUUGCGCCCGCCAGUAUUCUGGCGGGCAUGCCUGUUCGAGCGUCAUUUCAACCAUCAAGCCCCCGGGCUUGUGUUGGGGACCUGCGGCUGCCCGCAGGCCCUGAAAACCAGUGGCGGGCUCGCUGUCACACCGAGCGUAGUAGCAUAUCAUCUCGCUCUGGGCGUGCUGCGGGUUCCGGCCGUUAAAGCCUUUUUUUUUUACCCAAGGUUGACCUCGGAUCAGGUAGGAAGACCCGCUGAACUUAAGCAUAUCAAUAAGCGGAGGA